This 207-nucleotide non-coding RNA is filed under the name Erwinia sp. JUb26. RNAcentral describes it as "GcvB RNA". It matches the Rfam family "GcvB RNA". Rfam says of the family: The gcvB gene encodes a small untranslated RNA involved in expression of the dipeptide and oligopeptide transport systems in Escherichia coli. The record is from RNAcentral. Lineage: Bacteria; Pseudomonadati; Pseudomonadota; Gammaproteobacteria; Enterobacterales; Erwiniaceae.
ACUUCCUGAGCCGGAACGAAAAGUGUUUUGGAGUUUUGCGUUAACACGCUGAAUUUUGAGGGCUUUUGGCUUGUGGUCGUGAUGUUGUGUUUGCAAUUGACCUGACUCUUUUAAGGUCUGGUAGCCCGGCUACCGUUUAUUCCUGUAGAUUUACCCUGUCUGUCCAUAGUUAUUUUUUCAGCACCGCAAAUUGCGGUGCUUUUUUUA